CUCAACCCAGGUGGUCCCCCUGCUCUGAGCACCCAGGCCGGUUCCAUCUAGCGCCAUGGCCAGAUACAGAUGCUGUCGGAGCCAGAGCCGGAGCAGGUGCCGCCGCCGGAGACGCAGAUGCCGCAGACGAAGGAGGCGAUGUUGUCGGAGGCGGAGAAGGAGAGUGUGCUGCCGCCGUUACACCAUGGUGAGGUGCAGGAGAAGAUGAAUGCGCAGAAAAGCCCAGUCCACCGCACUCCUGCCUGCAACGCCACCAGCCGCCAAGACCCUCCUGCCUCCUCGUGAACAUGCCACCAGUUCAAUGACACGAACAGGAGCCUGCUAACCAACAAUGCCGCCUGUCAAUAAACGAUGAAAACUCA
This is a long non-coding RNA of Ailuropoda melanoleuca (giant panda), 362 nucleotides long. RefSeq lists it as uncharacterized. The transcript has 2 exons. The record is from RefSeq and is a predicted model, not a curated record. Lineage: Eukaryota; Metazoa; Chordata; Mammalia; Carnivora; Ursidae.